AUUGAACGCUGGCGGCAGGCCUAACACAUGCAAGUCGAGCGAGCGGCGGACGGGUGAGUAAUGUCUGGGAAACUGCCUGAUGGAGGGGGAUAACUACUGGAAACGGUAGCUAAUACCGCAUACCAUCAGAUGUGCCCAGAUGGGAUUAGCUAGUAGGUGGGGUAACGGCUCACCUAGGCGACGAUCCCUAGCUGGUCUGAGAGGAUGACCAGCCACACUGGAACUGUGACCGGGUCCAGACUCCUACGGGAGGCAGCAGGGGGGAAUAUUGGACAAGGGGCGAAAGCCUGAUGCAGCCAUGCCGGGUGGGUGACGGAGGCCUGCGGGUUGUAAAGCACUUUCAGCGGGGAGGCGUUACCCGCAGAAGAAGCACCGGCUAACUCCGUGCCAGCCGCCGCGGUAAUAC
RNAcentral lists this ribosomal RNA (406 nucleotides) under uncultured bacterium. RNAcentral describes it as "partial 16S ribosomal RNA". It matches the Rfam family "Bacterial small subunit ribosomal RNA", at positions 29 to 526 of the family's 1533-position model. The record is from RNAcentral.